RNAcentral lists this unclassified non-coding RNA (385 nucleotides) under uncultured bacterium. Its description in RNAcentral is "contains 16S-23S intergenic spacer region". The record is from RNAcentral.
UCCGGUUUGGCACCGGCAGUCCCCCGCGAGUCCUCAGCAGCUUGCGCCCUGUUAGCAACAUGCGACGGGGGUUGCGCUCGUUGCGGGACUUAACCCAACAUCUCACGACACGAGCUGACGACAGCCAUGCAGCACCUGUGCACGAUCUCCGAAGAGGGGCUCUCGUUUCUGAGAGCUUGCUCGUACAUGUCAAGCCCAGGUAAGGUUCUUCGCGUUGCGUCGAAUUAAACCACAUGCUCCGCCGCUUGUGCGGGCCCCCGUCAAUUCUUUUGAGUUUUAGCCUUGCGGCCGUACUCCCCAGGCGGAACACUUAUCGCGUUGGCUGCGGCACAGACAGAUUCGACUCCGCCCACACCUAGUGUUCAUCGUUUACGGCGUGGACUAC